GUGCCCUUUUAAGGUUGACUCAGUGCUUUAAGAGGCUAACACAAAAGAGUAAAAAAAUCUCCAUAAAACCCAGAGAAGAGGGUUGGGGUUGUGUCUCAGUGGUAGAGUGCUUGCCUGGCAUGUGUGGGGCACUGAG
This 136-nucleotide small nucleolar RNA is filed under the name Sciurus vulgaris (Eurasian red squirrel). RNAcentral's name for it is "Small nucleolar RNA SNORA26 (ENSSVLG00005013901.1)". It matches the Rfam family "Small nucleolar RNA SNORA26". From Rfam's summary of the family: The snoRNA HBI-6 belong to the H/ACA family of snoRNAs, guiding the pseudouridylation of position U4522 if the 28S rRNA. HBI-6 is the human orthologue of mouse MBI-6 snoRNA. Lineage: Eukaryota; Metazoa; Chordata; Mammalia; Rodentia; Sciuridae. The record is from Rfam by way of RNAcentral.